AUUUGUUUGGAGGUAUUAGUUUUCUAUGAAUGUACAACUGUUUGCUUUGUGCUUUAUUUAGACUUCUAAUUUAUAUCGAUAUUUAUGACAUGUGUUUACCUGUUUUGUAAGUCAAUCAAAAAGUUUGACUAGCAACUAAUGGUGCCUAUACAUGUAUUUAUGGAGCUUCUUCUGGUCAUAUGUGUAGUGGAUCUCUCCUCCUGUUGUUCCCUUCAAUCAUGUCCAAGGUCAAGAACCAUUCAGGUCAUAAACCCCUACGACAGGGGCCACGAGGGCUCAUCUUCGCCACUGCCCCUACUCCCACCUUCUGCAUGUCCUGCUCGGUGCUGUUCCAUUCCCUAGCGAUGUUCUCCGGCUAAAGACGCUUGGAGUUUGUGGUGUGGUGACACUUAAUGAAUCAUACGAGAGGCUUGUUCCCACAUCCCUAUACGAGGAUAAAAGAAGUAGGCGCAAUGAGGAGUCAUGUUCAUUCACAAGCUCUAACAGAGAAAGUUGGGGCAGAUGUUCAUCUUUAGGUGCAGCCAGUGAUGAAUUAUUCUCAGGCGAUAAUAAUGAUAAGCAGAUAUGAGCCCUUGGGCCUCCAGUUCGGGCAACAAGCAUAUGGCAAAGAGAGUGAGGGGGCAUGAUAUUGUUUUCCAAUUCCAAGAUCUAAGGAGCAAAGACUAUUAAUUAUCAUAAACAAGAUUUCUAAUUGGUGAAAGCUUUUUAUAUAUAGCAGACUGUGAUGAUGUGUAGAGGCAAAGGAUCCUUCAGAGUUCAUCACUCAUCGAGCCAAAGAUUUUGUGUCAAGCAUGAAGGACAUUGAAACCCGGUUUAUGUGUAUAGUUGAAGCAGGAAAUAAGGUUUCUAGAAUGCUUGAAACCAAGAAGAUCUUGCUUGACAUAUGUGCUAAAAUACCAGGAUUCUAGGUUCUCCAGUUAAGCUACCUACUGCCCGAUUGUGUCAGCACUUCAAGUGUGCUGCAAUUGUGAUGUUAUUCUCAACCAUGGUAACCAGGGUAUUCUCAUUAUUCUCUUCGCAAUCAUAAUGUUUUCCUGAAGUACUAAUUUUAAAUGUCUUUGUAGAAACUGUGACCCUCCAUAGUUAAGGGAUUGCACUUUCUUAAAUAUUUGUAAGCACUUACUGUUUUGAUUAUGCACUUAGACUCUCUGUUUUGAAUGCGAUAUUUCUUCCUUGAACAAAAAAGGUGCACUUUUGUUGUAAAUUUCAGUUCUUGGUGUUUGUUUAGACACAUUUUUUUGUUUUAAGAACUUCUGUUAAAAGUUUCUAUGAUCUA
This is an RNA transcript of Zea mays, 1276 nucleotides long. It is a transcript of the gene named dual specificity protein kinase - nitrate regulatory protein pseudogene, with no coding region annotated. The transcript is spliced from 7 exons. The record is from RefSeq and is a predicted model, not a curated record. NCBI's taxonomy places the organism in Eukaryota, Viridiplantae, Streptophyta, Magnoliopsida, Poales, Poaceae.